RNAcentral lists this ribosomal RNA (253 nucleotides) under uncultured bacterium. Its description in RNAcentral is "partial 16S ribosomal RNA". It matches the Rfam family "Bacterial small subunit ribosomal RNA", at positions 524 to 776 of the family's 1533-position model. The record is from RNAcentral.
UACGUAGGGUGCAAGCGUUGUCCGGAAUUAUUGGGCGUAAAGAGCUUGUAGGCGGUUUGUCGCGUCUGCUGUGAAAUUUCGGGGCUCAACCCCGAACUUGCAGUGGGUACGGGCAGACUAGAGUGUGGUAGGGGAGACUGGAAUUCCUGGUGUAGCGGUGAAAUGCGCAGAUAUCAGGAGGAACACCGAUGGCGAAGGCAGGUCUCUGGGCCACUACUGACGCUGAGAAGCGAAAGCAUGGGGAGCGGACAGG